RNAcentral lists this ribosomal RNA (490 nucleotides) under uncultured bacterium. RNAcentral describes it as "partial 16S ribosomal RNA". It matches the Rfam family "Bacterial small subunit ribosomal RNA", at positions 30 to 507 of the family's 1533-position model. The record is from RNAcentral.
AUUGAACGCUGGCGGCAGGCCUAACACAUGCAAGUCGAACGGUAACAGGGAUCAGCUUGCUGAUUCGCUGACGAGUGGCGGACGGGUGAGUAAUGUCUGGGAAACUGCCUGAUGGAGGGGGAUAACUACUGGAAACGGUAGCUAAUACCGCAUAACGUCGCAAGACCAAAGAGGGGGACCUUCGGGCCCCUUGCCAUCGGAUGUGCCCAGAUGGGAUUAGCUAGUAGGUGGGGUAACGGCUCACCUAGGCGACGAUCCCUAGCUGGUCUGAGAGGAUGACCAGCCACACUGGGACUGAGACACGGUCCAGACUCCUACGAGAGGCAGCAGUGGGGAAUAUUGCACAAGGGGCGCAAGCCUGAUGCAGCCAUGCCGCGUGUAUGAAGAAGGCCUUCGGGUUGUAAAGUACUUUCAGCGGGGAGGAAGGGAGUAAAGUUAAUACCUUUGCUCAUUGACGUUACCCGCAGAAGAAGCACCGGCUAACUCCGUG